RNAcentral lists this long non-coding RNA (156 nucleotides) under Cavia porcellus (domestic guinea pig). RNAcentral describes it as "lncRNA (ENSCPOG00000030364.1)". The record is from RNAcentral. Lineage: Eukaryota; Metazoa; Chordata; Mammalia; Rodentia; Caviidae.
UACUAACCAACCAUUUUGCCAUUAUGGGACAGAAGCCUACCAUACAUACAACAAUUAGAAGGAAAACGUAUAUUCCAGAUGACAGACUGAUAAACUGGACUUGGCGUGUUGCUCUUCCAAUGACCAGAGAUGAUGUGAUAAAGAAUAUCAGAGGAA